This is a non-coding RNA of Sus scrofa (pig), 415 nucleotides long. Lineage: Eukaryota; Metazoa; Chordata; Mammalia; Artiodactyla; Suidae. The record is from RefSeq and is a predicted model, not a curated record.
CUUGGCUUCAAGGGAAAGAGUGCUGCUAUUAGAAACGUCUGCUUUGGGCAAAGGAAUAAUAAAGAAAACUGAAGUCUACCUUGAAAAAGCCAUGAUGCAAAUGAAAAAUUUAAAUGAUUUAUCAAAUCAUUGGCAAGAUAAGAAACAUGAGAAGCAGAGUGAUUAUCAGUUCUCAGAAUCUAAGACUGGAAGAGUCAAAAUUCAACACCAGGUAUAAAACCAUGGUCUGUAACAUGAUAAUUUUGUAUUUCAGGUCAAGGAGUUUGGACAUAAUUCUUUAAGAAACAUGGUGACCUUGCAAAUUUUUGAGCAAGUUCCAGGAUUCUCUUAUCAGUUGUGCCCCAUUCUGAUCCUAGGUACCUCAAUUAUAGUGGCAUCAUAAUGAUUUUCAAGAAUCCCCUCUUGAAAUAAGAAA